UACGUAGGGUGCGAGCGUUAAUCGGAAUUACUGGGCGUAAAGCGUGCGCAGGCGGUUCGUUAAGUCAGAUGUGAAAGCCCCGGGCUCAACCUGGGAACUGCAUUUGAAACUGGCGGGCUUGAGUAUGGCAGAGGGGGGUGGAAUUCCGCGUGUAGCAGUGAAAUGCGUAGAGAUGCGGAGAAACACCGAUGGCGAAGGCAGCCCCCUGGGCCAAUACUGACGCUCAGGCACGAAAGCGUGGGGAGCAAACAGG
RNAcentral lists this ribosomal RNA (253 nucleotides) under uncultured bacterium. Its description in RNAcentral is "partial 16S ribosomal RNA". It matches the Rfam family "Bacterial small subunit ribosomal RNA", at positions 524 to 776 of the family's 1533-position model. The record is from RNAcentral.